This 465-nucleotide ribosomal RNA is filed under the name uncultured bacterium. RNAcentral describes it as "partial 16S ribosomal RNA". It matches the Rfam family "Bacterial small subunit ribosomal RNA", at positions 29 to 507 of the family's 1533-position model. The record is from RNAcentral.
AUGAACGCUGGCGGCGUGCUUAACACAUGCCAGUCGCACGAUGAAGCCCAGCUUGCUGGGUGGAUUAGUGGCGAACGGGUGAGUAACACGUGAGUAACCUGCCCUUAACUCUGGGAUAAGCCUGGGAAACUGGGUCUAAUACCGGAUAGGAGCGUCCACCGCAUGGUGGGUGUUGGAAAGAUUUAUCGGUUUUGGAUGGACUCGCGGCCUAUCAGCUUGUUGGUGAGGUAAUGGCUCACCAAGGCGACGACGGGUAGCCGGCCUGAGAGGGUGACCGGCCACACUGGGACUGAGACACGGCCCAGACUCCUACGGGAGGCAGCAGUGGGGAAUAUUGCACAAUGGGCGAAAGCCUGAUGCAGCGACGCCGCGUGAGGGAUGACGGCCUUCGGGUUGUAAACCUCUUUCAGUAGGGAAGAAGCGAAAGUGACGGUACCUGCAGAAGAAGCACCGGCUAACUACGUG